CAGAGGUCCCGAGCGUUGUUCGGAUUCACUGGGCGUAAAGGGUGCGUAGGUGGUUGGGCAAGUCUGAUGUGAAAUCUCCGGGCUUAACCCGGAAAUGGCAUUGGAAACUGCCUGGCUAGAGUGUUGGAGGGGGGACUGGAAUUCUCGGUGUAGCAGUGAAAUGCGUAGAUAUCGAGAGGAACACCAGUGGCGAAGGCGAGUCCCUGGACAACGACUGACACUGAGGCACGAAAGCUAGGGGAGCAAACAGGAUUAGAUACCCUGGUAGUCCUAGCCGUAAACGGUGCUUGCUUGCUGUAAAAGGAAUCGACCCCUUUUGUGGCGAAGCCAACGCGAUAAGCAAGCCGCCUGGGAAGUACGGUCGCAAGGUU
RNAcentral lists this ribosomal RNA (371 nucleotides) under uncultured organism. Its description in RNAcentral is "bacterial SSU rRNA". It matches the Rfam family "Bacterial small subunit ribosomal RNA", at positions 526 to 895 of the family's 1533-position model. The record is from RNAcentral.